GAUGAACGCUAGCUACAGGCUUAACACAUGCAAGUCGAGGGGAAACGACAUCGAAAGCUUGCUUUUGAUGGGCGUCGACCGGCGCACGGGUGAGUAACGCGUAUCCAACCUGCCCACCACUUGGGGAUAACCUUGCGAAAGUAAGACUAAUACCCAAUGAAAUCUUUAAAAGACAUCUGAACGAUAUUAAAGAUUUAUCGUGUAUGGAUGGGGAUGAGUCUGAUUAGCUUGUUGGCGGGGUAACGGCCCACCAAGGCAACGAUCAGUAGGGGUUCUGAGAGGAAGGUCCCCCACAUUGGAACUGAGACACGGUCCAAACUCCUACGGGAGGCAGCAGUGAGGAAUAUUGGUCAAUGGACGAGAGUCUGAACCAGCCAAGUAGCGUGCAGGAUGACGGCCCUAUGGGUUGUAAACUGCUUUUAUAAGGGAAUAAAGUGAGUCUCGUGAGGCUUUUUGCAUGUACCUUAUGAAUAAGGACCGGCUAAUUCCGUGCCAGCCGCCGCAGUAA
Molecule: ribosomal RNA, 508 nt
Filed under: uncultured bacterium
Lineage: Bacteria
Description: partial 16S ribosomal RNA
Rfam family: Bacterial small subunit ribosomal RNA
Source: RNAcentral